Molecule: ribosomal RNA, 2900 nt
Filed under: Klebsiella pneumoniae CHS 48
Lineage: Bacteria; Pseudomonadati; Pseudomonadota; Gammaproteobacteria; Enterobacterales; Enterobacteriaceae
Description: bacterial LSU rRNA
Rfam family: Bacterial large subunit ribosomal RNA
Source: RNAcentral
UUAAGCGACUAAGCGUACACGGUGGAUGCCCUGGCAGUCAGAGGCGAUGAAGGACGUGCUAAUCUGCGAAAAGCGUCGGUAAGGUGAUAUGAACCGUUAUAGCCGGCGAUGUCCGAAUGGGGAAACCCAGUGCAAUUCGUUGCACUAUCGUUAACUGAAUACAUAGGUUAACGAGGCGAACCGGGGGAACUGAAACAUCUAAGUACCCCGAGGAAAAGAAAUCAACCGAGAUUCCCCCAGUAGCGGCGAGCGAACGGGGAGCAGCCCAGAGUCUGAAUCAGCUUGUGUGUUAGUGGAACGGUCUGGAAAGUCCGACGGUACAGGGUGAUAGUCCCGUACACCAAAAUGCACAGGUUGUGAACUCGAAGAGUAGGGCGGGACACGUGGUAUCCUGUCUGAAUAUGGGGGGACCAUCCUCCAAGGCUAAAUACUCCUGACUGACCGAUAGUGAACCAGUACCGUGAGGGAAAGGCGAAAAGAACCCCGGCGAGGGGAGUGAAAAAGAACCUGAAACCGUGUACGUACAAGCAGUGGGAGCACCUUCGGGUGUGACUGCGUACCUUUUGUAUAAUGGGUCAGCGACUUAUAUUCUGUAGCAAGGUUAACCGUAUAGGGGAGCCGCAGGGAAACCGAGUCUUAACUGGGCGUUAAGUUGCAGGGUAUAGACCCGAAACCCGGUGAUCUAGCCAUGGGCAGGUUGAAGGUUGGGUAACACUAACUGGAGGACCGAACCGACUAAUGUUGAAAAAUUAGCGGAUGACUUGUGGCUGGGGGUGAAAGGCCAAUCAAACCGGGAGAUAGCUGGUUCUCCCCGAAAGCUAUUUAGGUAGCGCCUCGUGAACUCAUCUUCGGGGGUAGAGCACUGUUUCGGCUAGGGGGUCAUCCCGACUUACCAACCCGAUGCAAACUACGAAUACCGAAGAAUGUUAUCACGGGAGACACACGGCGGGUGCUAACGUCCGUCGUGAAGAGGGAAACAACCCAGACCGCCAGCUAAGGUCCCAAAGUCAUGGUUAAGUGGGAAACGAUGUGGGAAGGCACAGACAGCCAGGAUGUUGGCUUAGAAGCAGCCAUCAUUUAAAGAAAGCGUAAUAGCUCACUGGUCGAGUCGGCCUGCGCGGAAGAUGUAACGGGGCUAAACCAUGCACCGAAGCUGCGGCAGCGACACUAUGUGUUGUUGGGUAGGGGAGCGUUCUGUAAGCCUGCGAAGGUGACCUGUGAGGGUUGCUGGAGGUAUCAGAAGUGCGAAUGCUGACAUAAGUAACGAUAAAGCGGGUGAAAAGCCCGCUCGCCGGAAGACCAAGGGUUCCUGUCCAACGUUAAUCGGGGCAGGGUGAGUCGACCCCUAAGGCGAGGCCGAAAGGCGUAGUCGAUGGGAAACAGGUUAAUAUUCCUGUACUUGGUGUUACUGCGAAGGGGGGACGGAGAAGGCUAUGUUAGCCGGGCGACGGUUGUCCCGGUUUAAGCAUGUAGGCUGGUUGUCCAGGCAAAUCCGGAUAAUCAAGGCUGAGGUGUGAUGACGAGGCACUACGGUGCUGAAGUAACAAAUGCCCUGCUUCCAGGAAAAGCCUCUAAGCAUCAGGUAACAUCAAAUCGUACCCCAAACCGACACAGGUGGUCAGGUAGAGAAUACCAAGGCGCUUGAGAGAACUCGGGUGAAGGAACUAGGCAAAAUGGUGCCGUAACUUCGGGAGAAGGCACGCUGGUGUGUAGGUGAAGCCCCUGCGGGUGGAGCUGAGACCAGUCGAAGAUACCAGCUGGCUGCAACUGUUUAUUAAAAACACAGCACUGUGCAAACACGAAAGUGGACGUAUACGGUGUGACGCCUGCCCGGUGCCGGAAGGUUAAUUGAUGGGGUUAUCCGUAAGGAGAAGCUCUUGAUCGAAGCCCCGGUAAACGGCGGCCGUAACUAUAACGGUCCUAAGGUAGCGAAAUUCCUUGUCGGGUAAGUUCCGACCUGCACGAAUGGCGUAAUGAUGGCCAGGCUGUCUCCACCCGAGACUCAGUGAAAUUGAACUCGCUGUGAAGAUGCAGUGUACCCGCGGCAAGACGGAAAGACCCCGUGAACCUUUACUAUAGCUUGACACUGAACAUUGAGCCUUGAUGUGUAGGAUAGGUGGGAGGCUUUGAAGCGUGGACGCCAGUCUGCGUGGAGCCAACCUUGAAAUACCACCCUUUAAUGUUUGAUGUUCUAACGUUGGCCCCUUACCGGGGUUGCGGACAGUGUCUGGUGGGUAGUUUGACUGGGGCGGUCUCCUCCCAAAGCGUAACGGAGGAGCACGAAGGUUAGCUAAUCCUGGUCGGACAUCAGGAGGUUAGUGCAAUGGCAUAAGCUAGCUUGACUGCGAGCGUGACGGCGCGAGCAGGUGCGAAAGCAGGUCAUAGUGAUCCGGUGGUUCUGAAUGGAAGGGCCAUCGCUCAACGGAUAAAAGGUACUCCGGGGAUAACAGGCUGAUACCGCCCAAGAGUUCAUAUCGACGGCGGUGUUUGGCACCUCGAUGUCGGCUCAUCACAUCCUGGGGCUGAAGUAGGUCCCAAGGGUAUGGCUGUUCGCCAUUUAAAGUGGUACGCGAGCUGGGUUUAGAACGUCGUGAGACAGUUCGGUCCCUAUCUGCCGUGGGCGCUGGAGAAUUGAGGGGGGCUGCUCCUAGUACGAGAGGACCGGAGUGGACGCAUCACUGGUGUUCGGGUUGUCAUGCCAAUGGCACUGCCCGGUAGCUAAAUGCGGAAGAGAUAAGUGCUGAAAGCAUCUAAGCACGAAACUUGCCCCGAGAUGAGUUCUCCCUGAGACUUUAAGUCUCCUGAAGGAACGUUAAAGACGAUGACGUUGAUAGGCCGGGUGUGUAAGCGCAGCGAUGCGUUGAGCUAACCGGUACUAAUGAACCGUGAGGCUUAACCUU